Molecule: ribosomal RNA, 392 nt
Filed under: uncultured bacterium
Lineage: Bacteria
Description: partial 16S ribosomal RNA
Rfam family: Bacterial small subunit ribosomal RNA
Source: RNAcentral
AUACGGAGGACGCGAGCGUUAUCCGGAUUUAUUGGGUUUAAAGGGAGCGUAGGCGGGAGCUUAAGUCAGCGGUUAAAUGGUGCGGCUCAACCGUGCCCUGCCGUUGAAACUGGGUUUCUUGAGAGUGCAAGAGGCGGAUGGAAUUCAUGGUGUAGCGGUGAAAUGCUUAGAUAUCAUGAAGAACUCCGAUUGCGAAGGCAGUCCGCUGGGGCACGUCUGACGCUGAUGCUCGAAGGUGCGGGAAUCAAACAGGAUUAGAUACCCUGGUAGUCCGCACGGUAAACGAUGAUUACCCGCUGUCGGCGGUAGACAGUCGGCGGCCAAGCGAAAGCGAUAAGUAAUCCACCUGGGGAGUACGCCGGCAACGGUGAAACUCAAAGGAAUUGACGGGG